Molecule: ribosomal RNA, 495 nt
Filed under: uncultured bacterium
Lineage: Bacteria
Description: bacterial SSU rRNA
Rfam family: Bacterial small subunit ribosomal RNA
Source: RNAcentral
GAUCCUGGCUCAGAUUGAACGCUGGCGGCAUGCUUUACACAUGCAAGUCGAACGGUAACAGGCCGCAAGGUGCUGACGAGUGGCGAACGGGUGAGUAAUGCAUCGGAACGUGCCCAGUCGUGGGGGAUAACGCAGCGAAAGCUGCGCUAAUACCGCAUACGAUCUAUGGAUGAAAGCGGGGGAUCGCAAGACCUCGCGCGAUUGGAGCGGCCGAUGCCAGAUUAGGUAGUUGGUGGGGUAAAGGCUCACCAAGCCGACGAUCUGUAGCUGGUCUGAGAGGACGACCAGCCACACUGGAACUGAGACACGGUCCAGACUCCUACGGGAGGCAGCAGUGGGGAAUUUUGGACAAUGGGCGCAAGCCUGAUCCAGCAAUGCCGCGUGCAGGAAGAAGGCCUUCGGGUUGUAAACUGCUUUUGUACGGAACGAAACGGUCCUGGUUAAUACCCGGGGCUAAUGACGGUACCGUAAGAAUAAGCACCGGCUAACUACGUG